Molecule: ribosomal RNA, 366 nt
Filed under: uncultured eukaryote
Lineage: Eukaryota
Description: partial 18S ribosomal RNA
Rfam family: Eukaryotic small subunit ribosomal RNA
Source: RNAcentral
CAAUAGCGUAUAUUAAAGUUGUUGCAGUUAAAAAGCUCGUAGUUGAAUUUCUGGCGGGCGCGCCGGUCUUCCAAGUGUUGUACUGGGCGCAGUCCGCCAUCCUUGUGGAGAGGGCUCGCAUUGAGUUGCGUGUCGGAUCUGCAUCAUUUACUGUGAAAAAAUUAGAGUGUUUAAAGCAGGCUGUCGCUUGAAUACAUUAGCAUGGAAUAAUAAGAUAGGACUUCGGUCUAUUUUGUUGGUUGCGAACCGAGGUAAUGAUUAAUAGGGAUAGUUGGGGGUAUUCAUAUUUAAUUGUCAGAGGUGAAAUUCUUGGAUUUAUGAAAGAUGAACAACUACGAAAGCAUUUACCAAGGAUGUUUUCAUUAA